RNAcentral lists this ribosomal RNA (376 nucleotides) under uncultured bacterium. Its description in RNAcentral is "bacterial SSU rRNA". It matches the Rfam family "Bacterial small subunit ribosomal RNA", at positions 32 to 418 of the family's 1533-position model. The record is from RNAcentral.
AAUCAACGCUGGCGGCGCGCUUAACACAUGCAAGUCGCACGAGAAAGUGGAGCAAUCCAUGAGUAAAGUGGCGUACGGGUGAGUAACACGUGGAUCAUCUACCUCUUGGUGGGGAAUAACCUUGGGAAACCGGGGCUAAUACCGCAUAAGCCUGGAAAGGGAAAGCAGCAAUGCGCCGAGAGAGGAGUCCGCGGCCGAUUAGCUAGUUGGUAGGGUAAAAGCCCACCAAGGCAANGAUCGGUAGCCGGCCUGAGAGGGCACACGGCCACACUGGCACUGAAACACGGGCCAGACUCCUACGGGAGGCAGCAGUGGGGAAUCUUGCACAAUGGGGGAAACCCUGAUGCAGCGACGCCGCGUGAGCGAUGAAGCCCUU